AGUCGGAGGUAAGAAGCGGGUGACAAUCUCAAGGAAGAUUAUAUUAGCGGUGGCUGAACACCUAGCGAAGAACCAGCAGCAACCCAACUGAAAUGACGACCUGGAUCCCAUCGUCAACCAAAGUGUACAUUUUUCGGUGUUGAUAUCAUCUUAGUCAAUACCUCGAACAGUCUGUAAAAUUUUAUGUCAUAUUUUCUGUCCUAACUGAUGUUAUGGACGAUUUCUCAUCAAUUUUGGGAUUUUGUGUUAUUUUGUGUCAUCAAGGAAAAUUGUGUUUUUGGCAAGACCUA
Sycon ciliatum is the source of this 290-nucleotide long non-coding RNA. RefSeq lists it as uncharacterized. NCBI's taxonomy places the organism in Eukaryota, Metazoa, Porifera, Calcarea, Leucosolenida, Sycettidae. The transcript is spliced from 2 exons. The record is from RefSeq and is a predicted model, not a curated record.